This 1287-nucleotide ribosomal RNA is filed under the name metagenome. RNAcentral describes it as "bacterial LSU rRNA". It matches the Rfam family "Bacterial large subunit ribosomal RNA", at positions 1625 to 2925 of the family's 2925-position model. The record is from RNAcentral.
CCUUAAUUAUAACCUACCCGUACCGCAAACCGACACAGGUAGUCGAGGCGAGUAGCCUCAGGUGAGCGAGAGAACUCUCGUUAAGGAACUCGGCAAAAUGACCCCGUAACUUCGGGAGAAGGGGUGCUCUACAUUUGUAGAGCCGCAGUGAAUAGGCCCAAGCGACUGUUUAUCAAAAACACAGCUCUCUGCUAAAUCGUAAGAUGAUGUAUAGGGGGUGACGCCUGCCCGGUGCUGGAAGGUUAAGAGGAGUGCUUAGCGUAAGCGAAGGUAUGAAUUGAAGCCCCAGUAAACGGCGGCCGUAACAAUAACGGUCCUAAGGUAGCGAAAUUCCUUGUCGGGUAAGUUCCGACCCGCACGAAAGGCGUAACGAUUUGGGCACUGUCUCAACGAGAGACUCGGUGAAAUUUUAGUACCUGUGAAGAUGCAGGUUACCCGCGACAGGACGGAAAGACCCCAUGGAGCUUUACUGCAAGUUGAUAUUGAGUAUCUGUUGCGCAUGUACAGGAUAGGUAGGAGCCAUUGAUCUGAGGACGCUAGUUUUCAGUGAGGCGAUGUUGGGAUACUACCCUUGUGUCAUGGCUACUCUAACCCGCAUGCCUAAUCGGCAUGGGAGACAGUGUCUGCUGGGCAGUUUGACUGGGGCGGUCGCCUCCUAAAGAGUAACGGAGGCGCUCAAAGUUUCCCUCAGCAUGGUUGGAAAUCAUGCGUAGAGUGUAAAGGUAUAAGGGAGAUUGACUGCGAGACUUACAAGUCGAGCAGGUACGAAAGUAGGACUUAGUGAUCCGGUGGUACCGCAUGGAAGGGCCAUCGCUCAACGGAUAAAAGCUACCCUGGGGAUAACAGGCUUAUCUCCCCCAAGAGUUCACAUCGACGGGGAGGUUUGGCACCUCGAUGUCGGCUCGUCGCAUCCUGGGGCUGUAGUCGGUCCCAAGGGUUGGGCUGUUCGCCCAUUAAAGCGGCACGCGAGCUGGGUUCAGAACGUCGUGAGACAGUUCGGUCCCUAUCCGUCGCGGGCGUAGGAAAUUUGAGAGGAUCUGCCCUUAGUACGAGAGGACCGGGGUGGACUUACCGCUGGUGUACCAGUUGUCUUGCCAAAGGCAUCGCUGGGUAGCUAUGUAGGGAACGGAUAAACGCUGAAAGCAUCUAAGUGUGAAACCAACCUCAAGAUGAGAUUUCCCAUUCUUUAUGAAUUAAGAGCCCUGAGAGAUGAUCAGGUAGAUAGGCUAGAAGUGAAGGACAGUGAUGUUUGGAGCGGACUAGUACUAAUAGCUCGAGGACUUUACC